This 253-nucleotide ribosomal RNA is filed under the name uncultured bacterium. RNAcentral describes it as "partial 16S ribosomal RNA". It matches the Rfam family "Bacterial small subunit ribosomal RNA", at positions 524 to 776 of the family's 1533-position model. The record is from RNAcentral.
UACGUAGGGUGCGAGCGUUAAUCGGAAUUACUGGGCGUAAAGCGUGCGCAGGCGGUUUUGUAAGACUGUCGUGAAAUCCCCGGGCUUAACCUGGGAAUGGCGAUGGUGACUGCAAGGCUAGAGUUUGGCAGAGGGGGGUAGAAUUCCACGUGUAGCAGUGAAAUGCGUAGAUAUGUGGAGGAACACCGAUGGCGAAGGCAGCCCCCUGGGUCAAAACUGAAGCUCAUGCACGAAAGCGUGGGGAGCAAACAGG